RNAcentral lists this ribosomal RNA (676 nucleotides) under Eriobotrya malipoensis. Its description in RNAcentral is "eukaryotic LSU rRNA". The stretch from base 246 to 401 matches the Rfam family "5.8S ribosomal RNA". Lineage: Eukaryota; Viridiplantae; Streptophyta; Magnoliopsida; Rosales; Rosaceae. The record is from RNAcentral.
UUCCGUAGGUGAACCUGCGGAAUGAUCAUUGUAGAACCUGCAUGGUAGAACGACCAGAGAAUCGAUUUCAACGUCAGGGGUCGGCAGGCCGUCGCGCUCGGCAUCCCCUUAUCCCGGAAGUAUGUUUUUGGGUGUACAAGCGAACACCAACGCGUAUUACGCCAAGGAACUCGAACGAAAGAGCGUGCUUCUGCAACCUCGAGAAUGAUGCGCGUGCGAGUGCGUCAUCUUUAGUACAUCAAAACAACUCUCAGCAACGGAUAUCUCGACUCUCGCAUCGAUGAAGAAUGUAGCGAAAUGCGAUACUUGGUGUGAAUUGUAGAAUCCCAUGAACCAUCGAGUCUUUGAACGCAAGAUAAGCCCAAAGUCGUUAAGCCGAAGGCACGCCUGCCUGGGCAUCACACACCGUUGCCUCCCCUCGCGUCCCUCGAAAGCAUCAGGAGGACAGACGAUGGCCUUCCAUGCAUCACCCCGUGCGGUUGGCCCAAAUACCGAGUCUUAGAUAAGAAACGCCACAAUAAUUUAUGGUUGUUGAACCUUGAUUGCCUAUUGUGUGCUUUCAUCACGCUUCGAGCGACUUGCGACGCUCGCUGCUUUGCUUCGACAGAGCUUUCAACGCUACCCCAGGUCAAGUAGGGUUACCCGCUGAGUUUAACAUAUCAAUAAGCGGAGGAAA